Molecule: ribosomal RNA, 109 nt
Filed under: Alligator mississippiensis (American alligator)
Lineage: Eukaryota; Metazoa; Chordata; Crocodylia; Alligatoridae
Source: RNAcentral
GCCUUUGGCCAGAUGGGACUGAUUGCAUGUGGUCUGGGAAGCUAAGCAGGCCCAGGCCUGGUCUGUACAUGGAUGGAAGACUGCCUGGGAAUCCCGGGGGCCAUAGGCU